CCAAUAGCGUAUAUUAAAGUUGUUGCAGUUAAAAAGCUCGUAGUUGAACUUCGGGGUUUACUCAUUGGUCAGGCUUAAUUGUCUGUACUGGUGAGAUGAAUCUCUACCUUCUGAGGAACUUUCAUGCCAUUUAUUUGGUGUGAUGGGAAAUCAGUACUGUUACUUUGAAAAAAUUAGAGUGUUUAAAGCAGGCUAACGUCUGAAUACAUUAGCAUGGAAUAAUGAAAUAGGACGGACUGAUUCUAUUUCGUUGGUUUCUAGGAUCACCGUAAUGAUUAAUAGGGAUAGUUGGGGGCAUUAGUAUUCAAUUGUCAGAGGUGAAAUUCUUGGAUUUAUUGAAGACUAACUACUGCGAAAGCAUUUGCCAAGGAUGUUUUCAUUAAUCAAGAACGAAAGUUAGGGGAUCGAAGACGAUCAGAUACCGUCGUAGUCUUAACCAUAAACUAUGCCGACUAGGGAUCGGACGAAGUUAAUUUUAUAAUGACGCGUUCGGCACCUUACG
RNAcentral lists this ribosomal RNA (502 nucleotides) under uncultured Glomeromycotina. RNAcentral describes it as "partial small subunit ribosomal RNA". It matches the Rfam family "Eukaryotic small subunit ribosomal RNA", at positions 591 to 1092 of the family's 1831-position model. The record is from RNAcentral. Lineage: Eukaryota; Fungi; Glomeromycota.